Molecule: ribosomal RNA, 110 nt
Filed under: uncultured eukaryote
Lineage: Eukaryota
Description: partial small subunit ribosomal RNA
Rfam family: Eukaryotic small subunit ribosomal RNA
Source: RNAcentral
UCGCUACUACCGAUUGAACGGUUUGAUGAGUUCCGAGGAUGGGACGCUUCCGGGGCUUGCCCCUGUUGUGUCCCAGAGCAGGUGCAAAUCUGAUCGUUUAGAGGAAGUAA